UUGGCCUCUCGCCAUGGGUGGAGCUCGGAUGGGGGCAAUGCUGCCAUGGGAGAGGAGUUUGGGUGUCCUCCAUGGCUGUUCAGAUCUCAAGCGCAGCAGGGGUUUAUUUCAGGCGCUGAAACAUGGAGGAGCAGAGGAAGGAAAGGGGAGAUUGCAAGGGCGCCAUGGAGAAGUUUCUACGCAUCAUGCAGCAAGGGCGCCAUGCCAUGGCCGCCGGCGAGCUUACUGCUUGAGCUCAGACUAGAGGAGGUGCCGCGCCCAUGGAGGAGAGGAGCUCAGCUGCUGGGCUACUCGCCGACCAUGGAGAAGAGCAGAGAAGGUCGUGGCCAAGGGGAGAGCUGGGGCGUCGGCGUGCUCCCAAGGAGCUUCUGCUCCUGCGCGCACGAAGCAGAGGGAGGAGGAGCUGCCGCCAUGCCUGGAGGGGGCGCGCUGGAGAGGAAAGUCUGGGCGAUGGGAGGUGGAGGCGCCAUGGCUGCUGGCUUGCUCCCUGUGCGCUGGCGAGAAGGAAGGGAAGCUCCCUGCGCGUCGCCGUGGACAGCAGAGGGAGGAAGAAGAAACGUGCUGGCUGUUGAUGCCAUGAAGGAGAAGGAGACGGGAAAAGAGAAGGUGGCGGCUAGGAAAGUUAGAGGGGUGGGAAUGGAAAAAUACCCCAAAUGCAAGAGAGGGGCACUCCUAUUUAUAGAAAAUUGCUAG
RNAcentral lists this unclassified non-coding RNA (693 nucleotides) under Zea mays. Its description in RNAcentral is "misc RNA Zm00001eb267440". The record is from RNAcentral. Lineage: Eukaryota; Viridiplantae; Streptophyta; Magnoliopsida; Poales; Poaceae.